This 801-nucleotide ribosomal RNA is filed under the name uncultured bacterium. Its description in RNAcentral is "bacterial SSU rRNA". It matches the Rfam family "Bacterial small subunit ribosomal RNA", at positions 8 to 796 of the family's 1533-position model. The record is from RNAcentral.
AGAGUUUGAUCAUGGCUCAGAGUGAACGCUGGCGGCAGGCCUAACACAUGCAAGUCGAGCGGCAGCACAGCAGUAGCAAUACUGUGGGUGGCGAGCGGCGGACGGGUGAGGAACACAUCGGAAUCUACCCUGUCGUGGGGGACAACGUAGGGAAACUUACGCUAAUACCGCAUACGACCUUUGGGUGAAAGCGGGGGACUCGCAAGAGCCUCGCGCGAUUGGAUGAGCCGAUGUCCGAUUAGCUAGUUGGCGGGGUAAUGGCCCACCAAGGCGACGAUCGGUAGCUGGUCUGAGAGGACGACCAGCCACACUGGAACUGAGACACGGUCCAGACUCCUACGGGAGGCAGCAGUGGGGAAUAUUGGACAAUGGGGGCAACCCUGAUCCAGCCAUGCCGCGUGGGUGAAGAAGGCCUUCGGGUUGUAAAGCCCUUUUGUACGGGAAGAAAAGCUGCCGGGUAAUAUCCGGUGGUCAUGACGGUACCGUAAGAAUAAGCACCGGCUAACUUCGUGCCAGCAGCCGCGGUAAUACGAAGGGUGCAAGCGUUACUCGGAAUUACUGGGCGUAAAGCGUGCGUAGGUGGUGAGUUAAGUCUGAUGUGAAAUCCCCGGGCUCAACCUGGGAAUGGCAUUGGAUACUGGCUCGCUAGAGUGCGGUAGAGGGUGGUGGAAUUCCCGGUGUAGCAGUGAAAUGCGUAGAGAUCGGGAGGAACAUCUGUGGCGAAAGCGGCGCACUGGACCAUAACUGACGCUGAGGCGCGAAAGCUAGGGGAGCAAACAGGAUUAGAUACCCUAGUAGUCC